GAGCCUGGAGUAUGUAGAGAAAACGUGUGAAUAGCUGGGACUUGGGUUGCAUUCAAGACACUAUAUUCAACAGGCCAGUGGAAGCGGCAGUAAAAGUGACACUGACAAAACAAUUCUUCACUAUAUCUGGAUUCUUGACAGGCAACAGGGCCAGCGGUGUCCAGUGUUAUCCUUUCAUCAGGGCCAUUCUCCUCUUCUUCUCAUCCCUGAGCUGCUGAUGUCCUCUGCUUUGCCCGGUCUGAUGUCAGCCAUUGGUGAAUGCUGGCCUGGAUGGGAGGAAUGCUGAGACAACCUGCACAGAUAACAUCACGAUGCAUGAAUGCACUGCAUCGUGUUUCCAGACGCAUCCCCUCUGAUCCAGACCUGAUGAAAUAUUCUUGGCAGUGAGUUAGCAUCUGUGCGAAACAGUGUGAGAAACAAAGAAGAGAAAUAGAGUAUAACAUAGAGAAAAUUAAAUUUGCAUUGAUAGGUUUUACUCCACUUUACUCCACGCAUACAUCUUCCUGACAAUAUUUGAGCUAAAAUGGUAUAAAAAAACAAAACAAAACAUUUACUCUAAUGUUCUUGACUUUAAUGUAUUUAUUUAGGUUUUUCUUUAGCCUUCUACUCAAGUUAACAUUGUACUUAGACAAAAGUUUGUUUAAUAACUUUGUUUAAUAAAAAUAUGUAAAAAGAAAGAAACACUUUAUUCUGCCACUGUAGAAGUUUCAGCUGAACAUUCUGUUGCUAUAGUAACUGGUAGUGGCAGUGUUCCAUAGCAAAUGGAGAAUAACUGGCAUUUUUACAUCCACCAUUUUGUUGACAAGCACCUUUUAACCACGCUCUUAUUGCCAUUGUUUAGAGUACUGUCACCUGUUGCUACUCCCUUUUUAUGGCAAUUUAUGACUGUUGUUACUGAUUUGAGAUAUCAAAUUAGUUAAUUAGUUAAUUAAUUUUUCAAGUGAUCAGUUUAGUGCUAAUCAAGCUAGCCAUUCUACUAGCUGCCUGAAGCUAAUGUGUUGCAGUCUAGGUAACUCCUCUUUUACGGUUGUAAUUUCGUGUUAGAUUAUGUAACUCAUUCUACUUUUACUUUUUGGACUCUGCAUGUAUGUUUACUAAAUUAAUUAAAGUACUGUACU
This is a long non-coding RNA of Xiphias gladius (swordfish), 1118 nucleotides long. RefSeq lists it as uncharacterized. The record is from RefSeq and is a predicted model, not a curated record. The transcript is spliced from 3 exons. NCBI's taxonomy places the organism in Eukaryota, Metazoa, Chordata, Actinopteri, Istiophoriformes, Xiphiidae.